RNAcentral lists this ribosomal RNA (460 nucleotides) under uncultured bacterium. RNAcentral describes it as "partial 16S ribosomal RNA". It matches the Rfam family "Bacterial small subunit ribosomal RNA", at positions 338 to 795 of the family's 1533-position model. The record is from RNAcentral.
CCUACGGGUGGCAGCAGUGAGGAAUAUUGGUCAAUGGGCGCGAGCCUGAACCAGCCAAGUAGCGUGAAGGAUGACUGCCCUACGGGUUGUAAACUUCUUUUAUAAAGGAAUAAAGUGAGGCACGUGUGCCUUUUUGUAUGUACUUUAUGAAUAAGGAUCGGCUAACUCCGUGCCAGCAGCCGCGGUAAUACGGAGGAUCCGAGCGUUAUCCGGAUUUAUUGGGUUUAAAGGGAGCGUAGAUGGGUUGUUAAGUCAGUUGUGAAAGUUUGCGGCUCAACCGUAAAAUUGCAAUUGAUACUGGCAGCAUUGAGUUCACAACAGGCAGGCGGAAUUCGUGGUGUAGCGGUGAAAUGCAUAGAUAUCACGAGGAACCCCGAUUGCGAAGGCAGCCUGCCGGGGUGCGACUGACGCUGAGGCUCGAAGGUGCGGGUAUCAAACAGGAUUAGAUACCCGUGUAGUC